Molecule: long non-coding RNA, 1067 nt
Organism: Cercocebus atys (sooty mangabey)
Lineage: Eukaryota; Metazoa; Chordata; Mammalia; Primates; Cercopithecidae
Exons: 2
Source: RefSeq, a predicted model, not a curated record
UCCUGAGCUCCAGUGAUCCUCUUGCCUUGGCCUCCAAAAGUGCUGGCAUUACAGGCAUGAGCCUGUUACAGGCCAAAAGAAUGAGGGUCGUUGCCAACUCAGUAUACCACUGGAUUCUAUAUGAGCAAACAGAAAACUCUUCUCAUGAAAGCAGGAUGUUGGAAAACUAACAACUGCAUCUGCCACCAGAAGGGGUGCUGAGGGCAGUCACGCCCCAAGCGUAGUGUUCCUUGUGAUUAUCUACAGGAACAUCUGAAGCCUAUUGUACAAAGAAAGCAAUUAUGUGUACCUGUGAUAAAUCAAGCAUUUGACCAACCAUUACCUCUCCCUCCCUGCUCUUUCUACCUAAUAAAUACAAAGGGCUGUAGAAGCUCAGAGCCCUUGCUCACUAGAAGCAGGCAGCCCCCUGACCCCUUCUUCCAAAAAUACUCUUUUUGUCUUUGUCUUCAUUUCUGCAUUCGUCCCCCUUUGUUCACUCCCAUAACAACCGACAGCGACAAGUCACCCGGGACAGGGACGUGAGUGAAGGUCUGCUAGAGCAGAGAAAGUGAAACUGACAAGAACAACGAGAACGAGAAACACUGGGAAGAGUCUGCCGGCAGCUGAUAUAAGUCUGCAAAAUCAGCUGGACCACGAAACGGCAAUUGAGAGCUGCACAACCUGCAAUUACCUUUAUUCAAAUAAUGAAAAAACAAAAAGGGGGAGAUGUUACAGGCCAAAAGAAUGAAGGUCGUGACCAACUCAGUAUACCACUGGAGGCCAUAUGAGCAAACAGAAAACUGUUCUCAUGAAAGCAGGAUGUUGGAAAACUAACAACUGUGUCUGCCACCAGAAGGGGUGCUGAGGGCAGUCAUGCCCCAAGUGCAGUGUUCCUUGUGAUUAUCUAUAGGAACAUCUGAAGUUUGUUGUACAAAGAAAGCAAUUAUGUGUACCUGUGAUAAAUCAAGCAGCUAACCAACCAUUACCUCUCCCUCCCUGCUCCUUCUACCUAAUACGAAUGGCUGUAGAAGCUCAGGGCCCUUCCUCACUAGAAGCAAGGAACGCCCUGACCCCUUCUUCCAAAAAUA